CAAAACAAACCUAACCCUAAAAUCUUUAUUUCCCAAUCUUUUUUCUCCACUCUUCCUUGUUCUUCUUUCCACUGCGAAAAUGUCUCACUUCGGAAGGUCAGGCCCUCCCGACAUCACCGACACCUACUCUCUUCUCGUUCUCAAUAUCACCUUUCGCACGACUGCUGAUGAUUUAUUUCCGCUUUUCGACAAGUACGGGAAGGUCGUCGACAUCUUCAUUCCCAAAGAUCGAAGGACUGGUGAUUCUCGAGGUUUUGCAUUCGUGCGCUACAAGUAUGCAGAUGAGGCACAGAAAGCUGUUGAGAGGCUCGAUGGUAGAGUUGUCGAUGGUCGGGAGAUAACAGUUCAGUUUGCAAAAUACGGGCCUAAUGCAGAGAAGAUUCAGAAGGGAAGAAUCAUUGAAUCAUUUCCAAGGUCAAGACACAGGUCAAGAAGUCGCAGCCCUUAUAGAAGGCACCGGGAUGACCAUUACAAAGAUAGGGAUUAUAGGAGAAGAAGUCGCAGUAGGAGUUAUGACAGAUAUGAACGUGAUCGAUAUCGUGGGAAAGACAAAGACUAUCGACGCCGAAGCAGGAGCCAUAGUGCUAGUCCUGACUAUUCAAGAGGCCGAGGAAGAGGUCGCUAUGAUGAUGAUCGGCGGAGUGUCAGUCGAUCAAUGAGUGCUUCUCCUGCUCGCCGCAGCCCUAGUCCUCGGAAAAGUACUUCCCCACGCAAGGCAUCUCUCCCUAGGGGUGAAAGUCCUGAUAGACGUGUCCGUGAUGGACGGUCUCCAAGUCCUCGAAGUGUUUCACCACGAGGCCGUCCUGCUGGUUCUCGGAGCCCAUCUCCUCGAAACUCAGAUGUUGAUGAAUGAUCUUGCGGAUGGCAUGGGAAUUGCUGGAGUCUUUAAGUAGUGUGUUUCUUGUUGCUAUGUUGCUAGUGUUGAGGACAUUCAAAUAUUAUGCUUCUUCUAGUAUUGGUAGGACUGGGUUUUUUUGGUUUCUUAAUUGACUGUCCUGAACCUUGUCUCCAUUACUUAAGCUGUGUCAUGGUGUCUGAACUUAUGUGGUCUGUAGCUUGAUGUUUCAGUACCUGCCAAGAUUUUGUGAUCAAUGUUCGGGGAAAGUGUGCCUUGGGCAAAUGGACAUGAUGUGACAUGAUGUUGAUGUUGUGGCUGUUGAUGCUGUUUAUAUCUGUAGAUGAAUGAUCGUGAUUGUGAUGCUGGUUAUAGCAGUAUGCUGAUUGCAGGGACAGUUUGUUAACUAUUUUUAACUGAAACAUAUGAUGAUUGGUAAGAUCAGUAGUCAAGUAUUGGUUUCUGGAAAGCCUUGCAUCAGUCAGGUUUCUGAUGUUUCCAUCUGAUUAUCCUCUGGUCUGCUGAUUUCUAAAUAUUGGCACUGAGGUUUAGUUGCUGUGAUGGUAUAAAAGGACCCAAGAUGAAUUUCUUGAACUGUGGAAUGCAGCAUGUGAUGGACCUGUGAUGCAUUAGACCUGAUGCAGAUACUAAAAUUAAAAAUGUAAUGUCUUGGUCUGAAACUUGCGACUGCAUUAAUUGAACAGAAUAACUUGUUUCUGUUUAAUUGUUUCAUUGGUGUAUUCCAUUAAUCAUGUUUAACCACACCCUAUUGCUUAAUGUUUUGAGUUGUAGCAAAAUUGCCCGUGAGCUAGCUGUGAAGUGGUGGUUGUGCCAAUUCUGUUGUGAGAUACACUUAGCUUGUCGGUAACCAUUGAGUAUCAAUGAAUGACAUGUAGCAGGCUGUUGCUGCCUUUCUUGUUGGGUCACGAUGAUAAUGGUUCUUGCAGUUGCCUGGCUUUCUUGCUGGUCUGCUUGUAACUGGCUGUUGCUGCGCUUCCUGCAGGGUUGUGUCAGUUUUGGUACUAGCAGUGUUGGUAUGCAUCCAAUAUGCCACCCCUGUUCACAUGUUAGGGUUACAUUUAACUAUCAGUCUUUUUCUUUUAUUUGUUCUGAAAGAUCUUUGCAACUGUUAUACUCAUGACAUUGUGAUCUCGAACAGAUCACUUAUCUUUCAUUCUUAAUGUCAUUUUAUUAAUAGGGGCUUUCAUGCAUUUACUUGGACUCCUAGCUAGCUGAGGUGCUUAUAGAGUGAAAGCACAGAAAAAUUUAGGGAUGCUCUAUGGUGGUUAAACAUGUUAAAAGAAACGAAUAAAGGGAGGACUGCAGUUGCAGUUUUGAGCUGAAACCUCAAGCUAUACGUUAAAUGGUGUUGCUUUCUUUGAUCUUAUUGCAUGUCUGAUCCACAAAAUUCUGUUAAUAGGGAAAUUCACUGCCCACUUUUUUUUUUUUUGUAUUUUGCCUUAAUGGCUUUUCCAUUUGUUUUCUGAUAACUUUUAGAUGAACCCUCGAUGCUGUGACCCUACUGAAUUUGCUUUUGUUGGCACUAUGUUGAUUUGGCUUUGUAGUUUUGAAGUGCUUAAUUAGCGUUGAAUUUGCGUUCUGUUGUUCUUUUAUAGCUCUGAUGAUUCUGGCUCAUAACCAGACACUGUGAUGCUUGUGUGUGUUUUGUUUCUUCCAAUGACUUGAACGGUUAAUGGAGUUUGUUACUUUGUUUCAAGAGGGUACUUUGUAGUGACGCGUUGGUUGACUCUCAUUAGUUUAAGCGUUAAAUUACAAUUCCUUUUUUUUUU
Non-coding RNA from Durio zibethinus, 2625 nucleotides. Lineage: Eukaryota; Viridiplantae; Streptophyta; Magnoliopsida; Malvales; Malvaceae. The record is from RefSeq and is a predicted model, not a curated record.